GGGGAUGUCUCUCAGUGGUAGAGCGUCCGCUUCGCAUGCGGAAAGCCCAGGGUUCGAUCCCCCGCAUCUCCA
This is a non-coding RNA of Nematostella vectensis (starlet sea anemone), 72 nucleotides long. Lineage: Eukaryota; Metazoa; Cnidaria; Anthozoa; Actiniaria; Edwardsiidae. The record is from Rfam.